Molecule: microRNA precursor, 84 nt
Organism: Myotis lucifugus (little brown bat)
Lineage: Eukaryota; Metazoa; Chordata; Mammalia; Chiroptera; Vespertilionidae
Source: Ensembl
CCCUAUGAAUCUAGCGGAAACACUUCUGCACAAUCUAGAUUAUGGAUCCAGUGUGCGGAAAUGCUUCUGCUACGUUUCUAGGGC